Molecule: non-coding RNA, 21 nt
Filed under: Rattus norvegicus (Norway rat)
Lineage: Eukaryota; Metazoa; Chordata; Mammalia; Rodentia; Muridae
Source: RNAcentral
UGAUGGCUAACGUGGGCAAGG